GAUGAACGCUGGCGGCGUGCUUAACACAUGCAAGUCGAACGGAAAGGCUCCUGCUUGCAGGGGUACUCGAGUGGCGAACGGGUGAGUAACACGUGGGUGAUCUGCCCUGCACUUCGGGAUAAGCCUGGGAAACUGGGUCUAAUACCGGAUAGGACGAUGGUUUGGAUGCCAUUGUGGAAAGUUUUUUCGGUGUGGGAUGAGCUCGCGGCCUAUCAGCUUGUUGGUGGGGUAAUGGCCUACCAAGGCGUCGACGGGUAGCCGGCCUGAGAGGGUGUACGACCACAUUGGGACUGAGAUACGGCCCAGACUCCUACGGGAGGCAGCAGUGGGGAAUAUUGCACAAUGGGCGCAAGCCUGAUGCAGCGACGCCGCGUGGGGGAUGACGGCCUUCGGGUUGUAAACUCCUUUCGCUAGGGACGAAGCGCAAGUGACGGUACCUGGAGAAGAAGCACCGGCUAACUACGUG
RNAcentral lists this ribosomal RNA (466 nucleotides) under uncultured bacterium. Its description in RNAcentral is "partial 16S ribosomal RNA". It matches the Rfam family "Bacterial small subunit ribosomal RNA", at positions 28 to 507 of the family's 1533-position model. The record is from RNAcentral.